AGAUAUGGUCUUGGCUGUUUCGCAGGCAUCAGGUGUAGAGUGCACGAAUGACAGUUUUCCCUUUGAAAUGACGUACGCCUUACAGAAGCUUGGAAUGCAUUUAGAGAUUUUUGUUGAAGUCUUGCUUCCUUUGAGCUUCCUGCAAACAAUCAACAAUGGGAUAAUACAAUCAAUCCAAUAGUUACUUUUGGUGUUCUUUUUGGAUGGACUAAUCUGAAGAUGCUAGCUAGCUUGCACCAUCAUCAUAUAGUCUAGAAGGAAGGGCGAGGAUUAUAGUGAAAAUAAAGGCAAUUCGCCAUACGGAGGAAAUGCCUACUAAUCCAUUUUUGUACUUCGUUUCUUACUAUUGACUGUUUGAACUGUUGUGGUAGGACUCAGGCUUUCAAAGUUAUUUGGCAUGUGGACAUGUUUUUAUUUUCGUCUGUACAGUUUUGUGUUCUUUUGGCUUCAGGUUGCUACUGCACAGAAAGUGCAGUGAGCUCAGGUGAUGCAUGAAAAAAACUGCAGACCUAGCAUAGUUUUUGUAUUUGGAUUUUGUAACUAAUUGUGUGAUGCCCUUAUGUUAAAAUGAUAAUU
Triticum aestivum (bread wheat) is the source of this 576-nucleotide long non-coding RNA. RefSeq lists it as uncharacterized. Lineage: Eukaryota; Viridiplantae; Streptophyta; Magnoliopsida; Poales; Poaceae. The transcript has 3 exons. The record is from RefSeq and is a predicted model, not a curated record.